AGGGAGACGCAGGGCCCUACACUGCCAGCACCAGUUGUGGACGUUGCACCGAGAGCGCCGUCCCCCGCGCCCAGUUCUUCGCGUGCGGCGCCUGCGGCCGUACCCCAGGAGGAGGUUUUGGCGGCACCACCUGUGCAGAGGCCUCCGGUUGGAGCUGCUUUUCCUACUUUGGUUGAGGAGGCGGAGCGAGACAGAUUGAUGGAGCGCCUCAAUGAGUUCAGGAGGUGCAGCCCCCGAGUCUUCGAUGGCGAGAAGGUCGACCAUUGGAUCGUGGAUAAGUGGUUGAUGCAUAUGGAGAAACUCUUCCACGACACCUUCGUGUAGGAGAGGAAUCGAGUUUGGCUCGCCACCCACCACUUGGAUGGCGAGGCCUACCGCUGGUGGUUGGAUCUUCAGGAGCACCCCAGCACUGACUUGGCGAAUAUCACUUGGACGAGGUUCGAGGAGCUUCUUUUGGCGCAUUACUUCCCGACCAGUGUCAAGAGGAAGAUGGAGCAGGAUUUGCGCAGCUUGCGCCAGGGUGACAGGACCGUAGCCGAUUACGAGAGGGAGUUUUCUCGGCUUCUCCAUUGCGUGCCUUUCGUCGUGUGGGACGACGAGGAUAAGGCCCGCAUCUUCGAGCGAGGAUUGAGACCGUCUAUCUUUCGGUUUGUGCAAUCCUCUAACCUCCAAACCUACCGGGAGGUGGUGGAUCGCGCGCUCAUUGUGGAGAGCGGCGCGGCGGAUGUCCAAGAGCAGCGAGAGGCUAGAGACAAAGGGAAGGCCAAGAGGCCUGCGGCUGAGGGUGCGGGCCAGACGCACUCUAGGAGACCGUCGAAGCAUCCGAGGAGCCAGCAGCGUGGGCGUGGCUCGGCAAUUCACCGUAGAGGUUUUGACCGACGCCGACCUCCCUAGUGCGUGAUCUGCGGUAGUCCACACAUUCCACCGCAGUGCCCGCAGCGGGGAGGGAGGUGUUUCCAGUGUGGCCAGGAGGGCCACUUUCGGACCGAGUGCCCGAGGGGAUCUUCACCGGCACCGUCGACUGUAUCGGCACCGGCUCUACCAGCCGCCAGCCAGGGGACUCCAUCGACACAGUACCAGCUUGGGCGUCCACCCGUCCAGCGCCAGGGCGAGGGAUCUCGACAGGCCCCGAGUGGGCGUAUGUAUGCCGCUCAGACCGAGGAGGCGGCAGCAGCCGAGGAUGUGGUUGCAAGUAUCAUUUUACUUGAUGGCAUUAGAGUUCGUGCUUUAUUUUAUACCGGUGCAUCGCAUUCAUUCAUUGAUCGGCUGUUUUCCGAGUUGCAUGGCAUCCCAUUGGUUUCCUUACUGCAUCCGAAAUAUGUUGUUGUACCCGACCACAUCUUGGACAUUACAGAGUAUAGCCCGAGUUGCCCUGUUCGGGUAGGAGACUGGAUUAUGCUUGUAGAUUUGCUAGCUUUGUGCAAGCUUGGGGAUUUUGAUGUGGUCUUAGGCAUGGAUUGGUUGACCAAGUGUUAUGCCACGAUUGAUUGCAAGAAUCGCACGGUUACUUUUAGAGAACCGGGGCAGACGGAGGUGGUAUUUAGUGGAUGUCGGAGUUCGCUGUUUGCGAUGAUGAUCAGCUCAUCUCGAGCUAGGCAGCUGAUCAACAGAGGUUGUAUAGCCUACCUGGCUAGUGUCGUGCUGAGGGGCGAGGAUGACACCCCUAGGAUCGAGGAUAUUCCGGUGGUGCGUGAGUUCCAGGAUGUGUUUCCAGCUGAGCUACCAGGUAUGCCUCCUGAUAGGGAGAUUGAGUUUGUGGUAGAUCUCGUCCCUGGGACUACCCCAAUCUCAAACGCACCCUAUAGGAUGGCACCGGCGGAGCUGAGGGAGCUGAGGGCACAGUUGCAGGAUUUGUUGGACAAAGGCUUCAUUCGACCGAGCGUUUCACUUUGGGGAGCACCCGUUUUGUUCGUCAAGAAAAAGGAUGGAUCACUUCGCCUUUGUGUGGAUUAUCUUGAACUUAAUAAGGUCACGAUCAAGAAUAAGUGUCCGUUGCCGAGGAUCGACGACUUGUUUGAUCAGCUUCAGGGAUCGUGUGUGUAUUCCAAGAUAGACUUGCAGUCUGGGUACCACCAGUUAAAGAUUAAUCCCGAGGACGUUUUAAAGAUGGCUUUCAGGACACGGUAUGGACAUUACAAGUUCACAGUUAUGCCGUUCGGGCUUACUAAUGUCCCGACCACUUUUAUGGAUUUAAUGAACCGUGUUUUUAAGCCUUAUCUAGACAGGUUCGUCAUGGUAUUCAUCGACGACAUCUUGGUUUAUUUCCGGAGUGAUACAGAUCACGAGGAGCAUUUGAGGAUUGUGCUCCAAGUACUUCGGGAAAAGGAGCUCUAUGCCAAGUUGAAGAAAUGUGAAUUUUGGCUUCGAGAGGUAGCCUUCCUUAGACAUUUGAUUUCUGGAUCGGGCAUAGCCGUGGAUCCUAAGAAGAUUGAAGCAAUCAAUUGGCCGAGACCGACGAGCGUCACGGAGAUACGGAGUUUCCUUAGAUUGGCCGGUUACUACCGGAGAUUUGUCGAGGGAUUUGCAAGGUUAUUUACUCCCCUCACGAGGCUCACGCAUAAAGGUGUUAGGUUCAUUUGGAAUGAUGCGUGCGAGAGAAGCUUCCAAGAGUUGAAGCAACGAUUGACUACCGCCCCGAUCUUGACCCUACCAGUAGCUGGAGCAGGGUAUGUGGUUUAUAGUGAUGCUUCACUUAAUGGUUUGGACUGUGUAUUGAUGCAGGAUGGCAAGGUGAUCGCGUAUGCUUCUCGCCAAUUGAAGGAGUAUGAAAAGAACUACCCUACUCAUGAUUUGGAGUUGGCGGCUGUAGUGUUCGCAUUGAAGCUAUCGCGCCACUAUCUUUAUGGCGAGCGGUGUGAAGUGUAUACGGAUCACAAGAGCCUAAAGUACCUGUUUACUCAGAAGGAGUUGAACUUGAGGCAGUGCCGAUGGUUGGAGCUACUCAAGGAUUAUGAUCUGACGAUCCUUUACCACCCGGGCAAGGCUAACGUGGUGGCGGAUGCGCUAAGUAGGAAAUUGAUGGAAAACAUAGCGAUGCAUGUUGUGACUCAACCGCAGUUGAUCGAGCAGAUGAAGCGGUUGGAGUUGGAGGUGGUGACCCCUGACACACCCUUGAGGUUGAUGACCUUAGUAUUGCAACCUACAUUGCUGGAUAGAAUUAAAGAAAAGCAAGUCUCCAAUUUGGGAUUGCAAAAGAUUAGAGGAAAAAUGGUUGAUGGUUGCACCGGCGAUUUCCUUAUGGACGACCGAGGGUUGAUGCGCUUUCGAGGACGACUAUGUGUUCCGGCGGAUUCGGGAAUUAAAGAAAACAUUCUUCAAGAAGCGCACCGGGCACCCUAUGCUAUACAUCCGGGUGGCACUAAAAUGUAUAAGGACUUAAAGUUGCUCUAUUGGUGGCCUGGGAUGAAAAAGGAUGUUGGCGAGUUUGUCGCUAAAUGCUUAACUUGCCAACAAGUGAAGGCAGAGCACCGAGUUCCCGCGUGAAAGCUUCAGAGUUUGCCUAUUCCAGUCUGGAAGUGGGAGAAGAUCACCAUGGACUUCGUGACAGGAUUGCCUCGCUCUCAGGCUGGGCAUGAUGCUAUUUGGGUGAUCGUGGAUAGGUUGACGAAAUCGGCGCACUUCGUGCCUAUUCAUACUACUUGGACCGGAGAGAAGCUCGCACAAGUGUACCUUGAUGAUAUUGUGCGACUUCACGGAGUGCCUACAUCUAUUGUCUCGGAUCGAGACACCCGCUUUGUGUCUCACUUUUGGAGGAGUCUGCAGGACGCCCUUGGUACUCGAUUGGACUUCAGUACUGUUUUCCACCCGCAGAGUGAUGGACAGUCGGAGCGCACUAUUCAGGCCUUAGAGGAUAUGCUCCGGGCAUGUGUGAUAGACUUCCAGGGGGGAUGGUCGCAGCAUCUACCUAUGCGGAGUUUGCUUAUAACUACAGUUAUCAAGCAAGCAUCAAGAUGGCGCCCUUCGAAGCACUUUAUGGAUGGAAGUGUAGAUCGCCGCUUUAUUGGAGUGAAGUUGGCGAGAGACUGGCCCUAGGCCCUGAUGUGCUCCAGGAAGCUGAGGAUAAAGUUCGCAUCGCUCGGGAGCGACUUUUGUCGGCGCAGAGUAGACAUAGGAGCUACGCCGAUCGACGGCGGCGAGACUUGGAGUUUCAAGUUGGAGACCAUGUUUUCUUAAAGGUCUCGCCGACUAGAGGAAUAAAGAGAUUUGGGAUUCGGGGAAAGUUGAGUCCCCGUUUCAUUGGACCGUAUGAGAUUUUGGAGCGUGUAGGCCCGGUUGCGUAUAGACUUGCUCUACCACCGAACCUAUCGGGUGUACACGAUGUCUUUCAUGUAUCGGUCCUCCGGAAGUACAUUCACGAUCCAGCUCACGUCUUGGAUGCUAUACCAGUGGAGCUGCAUGAGGAUUUGAGCUUCAAGGAGCAACCUGUGAAGAUUCUAACUCGCGAAGUGAAGAAGCUGCAGAAUCGGGACAUUCUGUAUGUGAAGGUUCUUUGGAGCAACCACAGGGAGCGAGAGGCUACGUGGGAGCUGGAGAGCGCUUUGCAAGAGCGCUACCCUCACCUCUUCCAGGUGGAGUCUUGAGGUACGUUGCAUUUUGAGUUUCGCGGACGAAACUCCUUUUUAGGAGGGGUGAAUGUAACACACUGGACCUUUUCAAAUUGCGAGGUUCGAGUGUUUGAUUUGUGUGUCGAGCUUUUUCAGAUUUUCUGGAAGGUCGUAGACAGUGUUCCGACCUAUGGCUCGCAUCCUGAGAAUUGUGGUCUUAAGCUGGUGCCAAAAGCCCAAAAAGAUUGGAUCUUGGUCAGCUCUCGGGUAGCCUGCAGCAGAGCUUGUACUGGAACAAAACUGGUCUUGUACCGGUACAAGGUUGAUGGUUGUACCGGUACAGCCAUCGGGCUUGUACCGGUACAGAGCUGCAGACCCUGCAACCUGAGCCUCGGGUUUGCAUUUUCGUUGGUCUUGUACCGGUACAAGGACCCGUGUACCGGUACAAGGCGGCAGAUUGCGUGCAGUUUGAACUGCAGGGGGCUUUUUGCGUUUGUGGCCUAUCUAUUAGUAACCCCACGCCCCUUAGGGCUUCCCUGAGUGUCCCAGCAGCAGGAGAAGAGGUAGGGGAGUUCUCCACACCCUCCCUCUCUAUUUCUUUGAUCUUGGUUGGUUUAAUUUGUGAUUAAAGCUUCUUUUUCUCCCUCUUUUUGCUUCUUGGUGCUCUCCCUCCAUGGAAGGAGCUUGAGGCUUGGUUUUGGAGCUCGUUUGAGGGGAGAUUUUCAGAUCUUGAGGACUUGGACACUUGUUGGAGGCUUCCAAAGAGGUUAGAAGCUUAGUUUUUCCUUUUGAUCCUUAAAUUAUUGGAUUUCAUGAGUUGAAACCCUAGAAUGUGGACUUAGGGUUUGUUUUUGGGGGUUUUGGAUUUGGGGCUCCUUGAUCUAAAUUGAUGGAUUUAGAACUUUGGUUUAGGUUGGAUUUGAAGGGUUUUCACUCUCAUUUGGAGAUUGAGAGAAGAUUUACCUUACAAGGUGAGUUUUUGCCUGUUUUGUAUGGUUAAAUGUUUACUAGGAGUUGUUCACCCGAUGGUGUAAUCUUCAUUUCAAUCCUAGGGCUUUAGGAGAUAGAGGACACCCUGUUGGAGCAACGAGGAUUUCGUUAUCUCGGUGGGUUUAGCUUCGUGGAAAGGGGGCGAAAUGGCCCUAUACUCUUUUACUUGUUGUAAUAUUUUUAAAGUUUUUCUAUGCUAAAUGAAUUUAUAUAAAUUUUAGGCACUUAAAUGCAUGCCUUGUGUAUAUUAUGAAUUUCCCUAUAUUAUUAGUGUAUAUGAGUAGAAUGCAUUGCUACGUGACAAGUGUUUCGUUGCAAGUGGGAAAGUACAUUCUUAUGAGGAUAUAUGACUGGGAAUAUGUACUCUGGACAUAGUUGCAUGCUUUGACUUACUGAGAACAAGAGUGUCAAUCAAGGGGCACUGAAAUAGUAAACUAUGAAAUGCACAUUAGAAUAUUGAAGGCCGCUACAUAUACUGCUAUAUUCCAUGUUAAGAUACUGAUGAAUAGUAGAUAGGCCAUGAGGAUACCUAUGAUAUUCCAUGUUGUUAGACAUGAGGUUGGUACUUGAGACAGAUCAUUGCUUGCUUGCCAUUGUGCUCAUUCCACCUGCUUGUGAGGGUCGCUCCCUACAAGCCGGCACUCCGGAGAUAGCCAUCGCGAAUAUGCGUCGCGUGCGGAUUGGGCGCAAAGUGGAUUGCGUGGGGGAGGCUCAUCCUAGAGUGGGAUGUUGACUACACGGGGCCAUUAGCACGGCGCAGGCCACGCUUCGGGUGGGUUUAUAUGAUUGGGACUUGGUGACAGAAUGCUACGUGACUUUAUAAUGUUAAAGUGGACUUGGACUAGAUUAGUAACACAAUGACUCCUUGUAUUACACUGUGGCUUUGGGUAGAUGCUAAUCAGUGCUUUACAUGUUGGGUGUUCAUGUGCAUAUAGCUUAGUAGUUGCUUUCUUACUUAUGCCAAAUCAUGCUAAGUAGAGAUAUCAUGAUUAUUGGGUAACUCUUUAUGUAUUUAUUCAUGGGCAUUUUGCUUUUGUUAUAUGUGUUACACUGACUCUUUUAUAGUUUGGGCCUGUGGUGCAUUUACUGAAGUCAGAAUUGCCAUGGAAACUAUUAUUUAAUAGUUCUCACGCCCCUGUUUCUAUGUUUCUUUUUCAGAGCCUUCGGCACCGGCGGAGGCACGGGAUCGCGGCAAGGGUGUCGUGUAGCUAGCUCGCAGAGAGUUCCUUUGCGCUAGGUGGUUACUCCUCCAUUUCAUAUUUUGAGAGAGAGGAAGAGGUUUUGUACCAUGUAUAGAGAGACCACCUUGUACUUCACUUAGCACUUGUUAUGGGAUCCCUAUUGUACUUACUCUAUGUUUUUAUUUAGUGGACUUUCAGCUUUAUGUCCUUUUCUUGUUAUAGAACUAGUUAUACAAUGCUCUGAUAUCACUAGAUCUCUUGUAUUAUUGUUUUAUCUAUCGAAAUUUUUGUAGACGCCUUAUAUGUUUUAGACGUAUGGCGGGUCUGGACACGCGCCGGGUAGGCUUCCGCUGAGCCCCGGGGCGUGACACUAUAUGAGCAUGUGGCUCUCUAUCUUUCCCUCAUUUUCACCCAACCUAAAUCUAAAACCUUCCUCUCUCUCUCUAGGAUCUCUUCUCUCUCUCUCUCUCAGGGUGGAAGGAGAAGAAGGAGUUGGGGGAAAGCUUGGAAGAGUGAAGUUCUCUUCUUCGUCUUUUUCCUCAAGUGGAGAAGGAGCGUCUUGAGCUAAGCUCUUGAGCUUGUUAAUGGUAUAUAUCUAGGGUUUGGGUGUUUGAACUCUAGAAUAGUUUGGAUUGAACCCUAGGUUGCUAGUGUAGUACUAGAUGCAAGAAUCUAGGGGGUUAUUGCGGCACGUUUGCGCCGUAGUUGCGAGCUAGGGCUCCGUGAGGGUUUUUGUGAAAAGUUAGGGUUUGAUCUCAAUUAACCCUAUAUAAAUGUAAUUGUUAGGCCUACGAUUCCAUCGGCGUAGUCGGUUUGCUGAUUCGCCGAGCGAGCGCGGAGUUAUUGGCGAAAAGGACCUUCCGACAUUCGUUUCCGCCUGAAGGGCCGAGGCGGCGUCCGUAAAUCGCGGGAUCGGAUUCCGAGUAUCGUAACAAGAAAUCGAAGACCAUUAAUUUUCGGAUCGCGGAUCAGGGGUCGUUCGGUGGUCGCGCGUGAAUUGGGUCGAGCCGAGCGGCGUACGUCGCGGGAGGCCGAUUGCGAGUGACGACGAGCAAUCAGAACGCUAUAAAAGGUGGGUGGUGUCCAUCCCGAAGCAGUUGAGCUGCUCCUUAUGUCUAAGUGUUAUUGUUCAUCUAUUGCAUAUUGAUAGGAUGAAUAAUAGGGUAUGAAUGGGCGCAAUUCCUUUACUUGCAUGUCUUUGAUAGUGUAGCGAGGUGAGCUUGAUACUAGUGUUAGAAUGCAUGUGUAAAGGUGAAUUGUGAUAUAGAAACCCUAGUGUAAAUGACAAUGUGAACUUGUGUUAAUUGGACAAGAGUCAAUGAACGAGUGGCAUCUAAAUAGCAUGAAAACUAUCACGAGUGGCAUGAUGAACUAGAGUGUAGGUGAAACACUAUUGCAUGAUAAACCUAGUGAUGACUAGUUCUCGAGAGAUGUUGGCCCUAGUGGAUAGGGUAUCCUCUGUUGACGAGGAUUGGACUACACUCACAUGUCUGUUUUGUGCUUGUUGGCGGUCGCUCCGCACAAGCCGUGCGCUCCGGAGUUUUGUCACACGAGGGGUGAGCCUUAUAGGGCCCCGCAGACGGUCUUGGAUGAGUGAGUGUGGAUCCUCACCUAUGAGAUGUUAGUGAGUCGGGUGAGUGAGUAGUUCUCGCCCCGAGCGAGCGGAUCCUGUCCUGCGAGAUUGAGAUUGGGUUGUAUGACAGCUACAGCAGCAUGUUUUCCUUGACAUAGUAGCAUGACAGUGACCUCUGUACUAUGUAGGAUUCAUUCAUUCAUAUUUGGAUUAAGGCAUAUAGCAUGAUAUCUGUUAUUGCUUUCGUUUAUAUAUAUAUCUAUCUAUCUAUCUGCGUAUGUGUAACACACUAGACCUGUGCAAAUUGCGAGGUUUGAGUGUUUGAUGUGGACUCCGAACUUUUCACACUUGGUGGAAGGUCGUAGAUGGUAUUCCGACCUAAAAGUUUGAUUUAUGGAGUUUUGGCAAGUCCUGAGAGUUUUCAGUCUCGGGGAUCGGUCCCUGGUAGGAGAGACCGAUCCCCUCGGAACAGUAUUGCGGCAGGACUUGAGGCAACUGGUCCCUGGCGGAUGAGACUGGUCCCCGAGCGCGACUAUGCGGGGAGAGACCGGUCCCAUCCGGGCAGAGACCGGUUACCAAACGUUUGUUUUGCGGGACGAACCUGUCGGAUCGUUGGCGCUAACCAUUAAUCCCAAAAGCUCGAGCUGUUAGAAAUACGCAACCAAUUCACUUAAAGCGUACAGUAACAACGCCCACGGGUCUUGAUUGUGACUCGGCCCACCUGGCCUCACGCCACUUCGAAUAUGACUCGGCCCAACCCAGCCUCACGCCAUUUCGAACAUGACUCGGCCCACAUGGGCUCCCGCCACAGGGCAGGAUGCUGGCCUAUUUAAGCCAACAGAACCGAGAGACCGGUCCCAGGCAGGGAGAGAUCGGUCCCUCUGGGCGAAAAUUGCCCAGUUCGGGCAGUGCAAUCGUUGCAAAGUUGAGGGGCUUUUUUGGAUUUUGUUACAAUAGAUGGCCUAUAUGGCCAUUUCACCUCUCUCCCUCAUUCAUUUCACACUCUCCCUUGCACCUUAGAGAGAGAAAGAGAAGGAGAAGAAGAAGGAGAAGGAGAGGAGCUUACUUGGAGGCUUUGGAGCAUCAUCCCCUUCAUCUCAUCCCGACAUUGGUGGCUUGGGGCUCGUGGUUGAAGCUUCGUGGAGGAUCAAACUUCAACCCUUCUUGGUUUAGAGCUUGGUUUGGAGCAUCCUAGAGGUAAGUAACUAGCUUCCUUCCAUUAGAUCCUAGUUUUGAAGCUUUAAACUAGAUGAAACCCUAGAUUUUGGGAUUUAGGGUUUAAUUUGGGGAUUUUCGAUUUGAGGGCUUUGGGACCUAAUUGAUGGGUUUAGAACCUUCCUCUAGGUUGGUUUGGAAGAGUUCUUGCUCUCUUUGGAAGGUUGAGAAGGGAUUUUUUCACAAGCGGUGAGUUAUGCCCUCUAUGCCUAGAUGGUUAAAGAUUGAGCUUUUCGAUGUUCGUUUCGAUUGUGUAACUCUUGUUCCUACAUCUUUAGGGUGCUAGGAGACUAGUGAACACCUCCGUUCGAUGAAACGAAGGGUUUCAAUUUUUGGUGGGUUUGGCUUUAUGAAAAUGGGGCGAAAUGGCCCCCAUGCUUUUAUACUCGUCGUAACGUCAUUUUAAAUGCAAAUCUAUGCUAAAUAAAAUUUAUGUGAAUUUUAGAACACUUAAAAUGCAUGUGUUAUGUGUAAGAUAAUUUUCACUCUAUAUAGUAGAGCAUUCUGGAUAUAUUGUUACAUGCAUAUGAGUAGUGUUCGCACUAGUUGUUUGGAAACAUGCCUCAUAUGUUUAAAGUGGCUCAAUUAUGCAUUUAUGAACAUUUGGUUUAAGCUUGGACUUAGUAAAUGAAAGUGUCAUAAAGGGGCACUUGGACUAGCAAACUAUGAGACUAUUGUAUUAAGACUUAGUGAUAGGCCAUAGACAUCUACUACUUUCCAUGUUUUAGACAUGAUGAUAUAGGGAUAGGCCUAUGAGAGAGUUGUGACGUAUUCCAUGUUGUUAGACAUAAGGACUUGGUACUUGAGACAGAUCUUUUGGUUACUUGCCAUUGUGCUCAUUCGCACAUGCUUGUGAGGGUCGCUCCCUACAAGCCGGCACUCCGGAGAUGGCCAUCGCGAUACAUAUUCGCCGUGCGGGAUUGGGCGCCGAAGUGGAUUGCCGCGGGAAAGGCUCAUUCCUAGAGUGGGGGUGUUGACUACCACGGGGCCAUUAGGCUCGGCACCGGCCAGACAGCCUCCGGGUGGGUCUCAGGGCCAGACAGCCUUCGGGCGGGUCUCUUCAGAUUUGAUUUUGAGCAUUAAUCAUGCCAUGUGGACCUUGAAUAGAAUAGUAAACAAUGACACCUUUACUAUUUGACUUAUGGACAUCAUACUAGCGAUGCUUGGGUACAUGCAAACGAGAAUAGUUUUUCUUACUUAUGCUAAAUCAUGCUAAGUAGAGAUAUCAUGUGGUAGCAAAUAUUCAUGCUUAUUUACUUGUCGUACAUAUCGCUCUUGUUUAUUUCUGCUUACUGACCGCUUUUUAGUUUGGGCCUAGUGGUGCAUUUCAGUGAAGCCAGUAAUUGCCUACUGGGAACUAUUAUUCAAUAGUUCUCACGCCCUCUAUUUUAUGAUUUUAUUUCAGAGCCUUCGGCACCGGCGGAGGCACGGGAUCGCGGCAAGGGAGUCGCAUAGCUAGAUAGCGGAGCUUGCUAUUGCUCCUAGGUGGUCACUCUCUUCCUUUUUAUUUUUUUUUGUGAGAGAGAGAGUUUUGUACCAUGUAUAGAGACCACCUGUGUAUCUCGUUUAGCUUUCGUUUUGGGACUUUUAUUGUAUUACUUUACGUUUCUUCUAGUGGAUGUUAGUUUAUGGUUCUUUUCCUCUACUGUAGCAUCUAGAUAUACUUGCUCUGAUAAUCCUAGAUGUUCUCUUGUACUGCUUCAUUUAUCACUUGAUUUAGACGCCUUGUAUGUUUUAGAGAUAUGGCGGGUCUGGGCAUGCGCCGGGCGGGCUUCCGCUGGAUCCCGGAGCGUGACAGAUUAGUUUGGUAUCAGAGCCUAGGGUUGAGUCUUAGUGGACCUAGCAAACCUUAGGCUGGUUGGACUAUAGGGAAUAGGCUCGUGAGAGACGAGGUCUAUUUGACUUAUAAGUGAAAGUAUCAUGAUUGGGUAUCUUGAUAACUCUAGAAAGUGGAGUUAUAUCGAAGUGUAUAGCUCCUAACUUCGCGGAGGGUUAUGUUGGCGGCCGACAACGUAACAUUGGGAGUUAGUAGUGAAGCACACUUCAUUACUUUCGCAUGAUUCGAGGUAUUAUCUGCUUCAGCGGGGAUACGAUAGCGUGGGUUACUAACUUACGCUUUUAUGAUGUUGUAGUUAUGAUACCGAUUACACGCUCCCAAUCUGCCGUAGCGGAUAACGCGGCUAACCUGGAGGAGGUCGAGACCUCCGCUACCUCCGGAUCCGGCGAGAUCCGAGAGUUGAGGGGCCAGCUUGCGGCCCUCACUGAUAUGGUGGCACAGCAGACUGAGGGGGCGCGCCGACAGGAGGCGCAGAUGAAGCGCUUGGAGGAUCUUCUGCUACAGCAGGCGGCAGCUUCCAGGGAGACCCAGUCCCCUACACCGCCAGCACCAGUCGUGGACGUCGCGCCGAGAGCGCCAUCCCCCGCGCCCAGUUCUUCGCGGGUAGCGCCCGCGGCCGCGCCUCAGGAGGAGGCUAUCGCGGCACCACCUGUGCAGAGGCCCCCGGUUGGAGCAGCUUUCCCUACCUUGGUCGAGGGAGCGGAGCGGGACCUACUCAUGGAGCGCCUCAACGAGUUCAGGAGGUGCAGUCCUCAGAUCUUUGAUGGCGAGAAGGUCGACCACUG
Molecule: long non-coding RNA, 12125 nt
Filed under: Ananas comosus (pineapple)
Lineage: Eukaryota; Viridiplantae; Streptophyta; Magnoliopsida; Poales; Bromeliaceae
Description: long non-coding RNA (ACOM_LNC044179)
Source: RNAcentral